This 825-nucleotide unclassified non-coding RNA is filed under the name Hevea brasiliensis (rubber tree). Lineage: Eukaryota; Viridiplantae; Streptophyta; Magnoliopsida; Malpighiales; Euphorbiaceae. The record is from RNAcentral.
AAGAAAGGCAAAGAGAUGGAUGGUGAAGGUAGUAGUUCGAAGGAUAGAUUGGCAGAUGACAUUAUAAGCACUGUUCGAACAAUGCAGUCACAUUACAAGCCUACAGAAGAUGAGGUGGAGGUGCUAUUAAAGGAUGGAUAUCGGUCAGCUAAAGGAAUGGCUAAUUUAAUGGGCGAUGAGAAACAAGUGGAGUUCAGUAACCAGGAUGAUUCCACAUCUGCUGGGACUAUAUCUAAUCAGAAUGUGAAGGAAGGGGGAUCUGGAAAUAAGCAUCGAAAGAAAACCUCAAAGUUUCAUAGGGUGAGGCUGGGAGAUGGCUCAAUGGCAGGCCCUCUGGAUCUAAAAAAUUCUGAUACUGAUCCCAAUCCCAAUCCCAAUCCCAAUCCAGCUGAUGACCAGUCAGAUGGAAGCAAUAAAGCAACUGGAGGAUUAUCUGUUCGUGGUGUUUGGCAGAAAAGGGGAGGUCAUAAACUCUUUUAACAAUCUGAUUUUGGUAGAUGCUUCAUGGAGAAGCAAGGCAAUGCUUAAUAUACCUGCAGUAGGUGGAAAAGUUUCCAGUGAUUGCUUUGAUUGCAAUUAUUUGGCAACAUCAAAUCCUUUUUCAGUUUGCUUAUUUUCGUGUUCAGGUGAUGAAUUUUGUGCCCUAUUUCUGUCUCUCAAUAUUUUUUGACAGCGAGUUUGCUUGAAAUGGUUAGCCCUUUGUUAUAUCUUGAUGAUCACAAAUGUUUAUUAACAGUACACAAAAGAAAGAAUGUGGAGUUCUUAAUGAAGACAUUGCAGAAAUAUUAUGUUGCAAAAAAUUCAUCACCUGAACACGAAAAUAAG